AUGUAACCGGACCGUUCGGGCGCCGUAAAACGCAUCUGUUCGGAAAGGGAGAUAUCAUACACCCUGUGUUUAUUUACCUUUGUUGCUUUGGCGGGCCGUCCUUUUAGGCGUCGGCCCCGGCUGAUCGCGCCUGCCAGAGGACCCAAACUCUGAAUGUUAGUGUCGUCUGAGUACUAUACAAUAGUUA
This 187-nucleotide unclassified non-coding RNA is filed under the name uncultured Helotiaceae. RNAcentral's name for it is "sequence contains ITS1". The record is from RNAcentral. Lineage: Eukaryota; Fungi; Ascomycota; Leotiomycetes; Helotiales; Helotiaceae.